GUCCCUUCUCCGGAAGACAAACCGGUCCUUCUCGCCAGAGGUACGUCUCCUCCGCCCCUUCCCCUCCAUUCCCCUCGCCUAUGGUUUCUCAUCUUCACCCACCAUGGCUGCCACUUCCUGCGAGGUCCAGACCUCCGUUUGCCCCGUCCUCCCCGGCGAGCUUGCCAAGCACGACAUCUCCUACCUCUAGCUCCACAUGGCCCGUAUUCUAUGAUCUUGCUUGAGUUUCCGUCCUCCUAGAAGCCCCAUCUCCACCGUGGCAUCUCCUGAUCUGAGUAUUUUGAUAAUAUGUACUAUCUUCUAUCAAUCUGCAACUCUGCAUAUAGCUUCUUAAAAAUAUUAGAAUGACAACAUGGUUAUGACCUUCAAUUGUGAUCUCAAGAGUAUGAUUAUUUUGUAAAUGAGAAUCCAUCAUGUUCUCUGACAAGUGCUAGUUUAGAUGCUCUAUCUUAUAGUACCACGAGUUGCUUCUGGCACUAUUGGUUUGUUGGCAAUUGAAACCUGGUAAUUAUUUUGUGGUGUGGACAUACUAUUGUUGUGAAUGAUGAAGACGUUGGUGCAUCAGUGUAUAAUUUUUUUUGUAUCAGCAUCUGUGUAUAUUAGUAUGUGGUAAUUCGUUGAGCAAACUGCAGUACUAGAAUCUACCUUGCCCUAUUUAAGUUCAGUCGCAUGAAAAUAAUCUGAUUCCGUUGCUCCACCAUCCUACAACACACUGAACUUUUUUGUAUGCAGGCAUGGAUUUUUCCCCAAGAUGAUCUGAGCUUCAGAUAAACCUGGAUGAUUGCUGCAUAUAUAACACGCAAAGAAACUGUUGGUAUGAAAUUCGACAGAUUUGUGAUGAGUUCUGUAGUAGCAACUAGCAACCAUGAGCUCCAUUUUUGGGUGUUUGUCGGUUUCUAAAAUUGGAAUUCUGAAGCAAACGAAUUGAUUGUAGCGAUGGUAGAUAGGUUAGGUAGUAUGUGGACACGAAAGUAUCGAUAGCUACCCGACCCUAGGCUGUAGCAACAGCCACCAAAAUCUGUAGAUAUUGUAUUGGCAAUAUUCUGCCAAGCUUAGAAUAAAUAUAUAUUAUCCCAAGCUUGGUGUAUAUUCAUUUUUAUUUGCAUUUGUUUCUAUUUAUACCUAGCGCCAGGUGCUCAUUCAGUUGCACAAGUUUGGCUGGAUGAAUCGUGCUUAUAAAUAUUCUUUAUACCUUGUAUUCUACAAGUCAUCGUCGGUCAGUCAAUAGGUGGAUGUUUGUUUCUAGUAUGAAUGAUUAUGUGCCAUCUUACAUGCCUGUUCCGAGUUUUCCUUUGCCUGAAUCUUAAUCAGUUCACGGGUAAGAUCUUACACGUUUUGUUUCUGGUUCUGUAUCCUAUUCGAAGUUGGCAUGUAUUACUUUUGUUGAAGAAGACAUGAAGAUUCAGUCUUCUGGUCAUCUUUUUUCAGCAGUUCGUUAUGGUUUUGUAAACUUUUGGGAAUUUUGUCAGCAGUUGUUGUUAGGAAGAUGUAGUACUACUACCUUAUUGUGGAGGUUUCUAACUGUUUACCAAUGAGAUUGUAGUUCUCAUACGAUUCUGUUGCUGCUAUUGGGUGAUCCUUCAUAUUGUGUUUGUAUAUGUUUUCUGGUUUAUAAAGGUCAUAGUGAUUAUUUUGGUGGAUUCCCCCUUGUUAGUUUAUUGUUUCAGGUUGCAUCCGCAAUUAAGAUUUGAUAAGUAGCCGCCUCCUAUCUUCCAGGCAAAUGCUUGACCGAUUCUUUUUUUCCAUUCACUUGAGAAAGGCAGCAUUAAUACUAAUCUAUUGAUAUGAUUUUGAAUUUGUGCAGUGCAAUGGUGGACAUUUAGCUCGUGGCACAUGCCUUGCCGAGCUCCCCAGCAGAUAGUGCCUGACUUGCAAGCACGACGCAGUGGAUGAUAUUGUCUCGCCGGCAAGGAUAAAGUGCUCCUACGAUGGCUACCAGAGUGACGUCACCUAGCACGAGGUUGACCAUCAUAGUGCUUCUAUAGUUCUGUAGCAACAUGAUUAGUUUUGUAUGUGGAUUCUACUCGUAGCAAGUUUUUUAUGUUAUGAUGCUGUUUUGCUUGUAAAGAUUGGAUUUUUGCAUGUUUUGCACCAUCUUAUAUCAAUAUGCAAAUCCUGCCUACCAAACAACAUUUCUAUACAAAGAAGA
This 2149-nucleotide long non-coding RNA is filed under the name Triticum aestivum (bread wheat). RNAcentral describes it as "long non-coding RNA (TAES_LNC025054)". The record is from RNAcentral. Lineage: Eukaryota; Viridiplantae; Streptophyta; Magnoliopsida; Poales; Poaceae.